Molecule: ribosomal RNA, 253 nt
Filed under: uncultured bacterium
Lineage: Bacteria
Description: partial 16S ribosomal RNA
Rfam family: Bacterial small subunit ribosomal RNA
Source: RNAcentral
UACGGGGGGGGCAAGCGUUGUUCGGAAUUACUGGGCGUAAAGGGUUUGUAGGGGGCUUGUUAAGUCAGACGUGAAAUCCCUCAGCUUAACUGGGGAACUGCGUCUGAUACUGGCGAGCUUGAGUGCAGAAGAGGAACGCGGAAUUCCAGGUGUAGCGGUGAAAUGCGUAGAUAUCUGGAGGAACACCGGUGGCGAAGGCGGCGUUCUGGACUGCAACUGACACUGAGAAACGAAAGCCAGGGUAGCAAACGGG